RNAcentral lists this ribosomal RNA (1382 nucleotides) under Streptomyces sp. Its description in RNAcentral is "bacterial SSU rRNA". It matches the Rfam family "Bacterial small subunit ribosomal RNA". The record is from RNAcentral. Lineage: Bacteria; Bacillati; Actinomycetota; Actinomycetes; Kitasatosporales; Streptomycetaceae.
ACGAUGAACCACUUCGGUGGGGAUUAGUGGCGAACGGGUGAGUAACACGUGGGCAAUCUGCCCUUCACUCUGGGACAAGCCCUGGAAACGGGGUCUAAUACCGGAUAUCACUUCCACUCGCAUGGGUGGGGGUCGAAAGCUCCGGCGGUGAAGGAUGAGCCCGCGGCCUAUCAGCUUGUUGGUGAGGUAAUGGCUCACCAAGGCGACGACGGGUAGCCGGCCUGAGAGGGCGACCGGCCACACUGGGACUGAGACACGGCCCAGACUCCUACGGGAGGCAGCAGUGGGGAAUAUUGCACAAUGGGCGAAAGCCUGAUGCAGCGACGCCGCGUGAGGGAUGACGGCCUUCGGGUUGUAAACCUCUUUCAGCAGGGAAGAAGCGAAAGUGACGGUACCUGCAGAAGAAGCGCCGGCUAACUACGUGCCAGCAGCCGCGGUAAUACGUAGGGCGCAAGCGUUGUCCGGAAUUAUUGGGCGUAAAGAGCUCGUAGGCGGUCUGUCGCGUCGGAUGUGAAAGCCCGGGGCUUAACCCCGGGUCUGCAUUCGAUACGGGCAGACUAGAGUGUGGUAGGGGAGAUCGGAAUUCCUGGUGUAGCGGUGAAAUGCGCAGAUAUCAGGAGGAACACCGGUGGCGAAGGCGGAUCUCUGGGCCAUUACUGACGCUGAGGAGCGAAAGCGUGGGGAGCGAACAGGAUUAGAUACCCUGGUAGUCCACGCCGUAAACGGUGGGAACUAGGUGUUGGCGACAUUCCACGUCGUCGGUGCCGCAGCUAACGCAUUAAAGUUCCCCGCCUGGGGAGUACGGCCGCAAGGCUAAAACUCAAAAGGAAUUGACGGGGGCCCGCACAAGCAGCGGAGCAUGUGGCUUAAUUUCGACGCAACGCGAAGAACCCUUCCAAGGCUUGACAUACACCGGAAAGCAUUAGAGAUAGUGCCCCCCUUGUGGUCGGUGUACAGGUGGUGCAUGGCUGUCGUCAGCUCGUGUCGUGAGAUGUUGGGUUAAGUCCCGCAACGAGCGCAACCCUUGUUCUGUGUUGCCAGCAUGCCCUUCGGGGUGAUGGGGACUCACAGGAGACUGCCGGGGUCAACUCGGAGGAAGGUGGGGACGACGUCAAGUCAUCAUGCCCCUUAUGUCUUGGGCUGCACACGUGCUACAAUGGCCGGUACAAAGAGCUGCGAAACCGUGAGGUGGAGCGAAUCUCAAAAAGCCGGUCUCAGUUCGGAUUGGGGUCUGCAACUCGACCCCAUGAAGUCGGAGUUGCUAGUAAUCGCAGAUCAGCAUUGCUGCGGUGAAUACGUUCCCGGGCCUUGUACACACCGCCCGUCACGUCACGAAAGUCGGUAACACCCGAAGCCGGUGGCCCAACCCCUUGUGGGAGGGA